This 373-nucleotide long non-coding RNA is filed under the name Physcomitrium patens. Its description in RNAcentral is "long non-coding RNA (PPAT_LNC010888)". The record is from RNAcentral. Lineage: Eukaryota; Viridiplantae; Streptophyta; Bryopsida; Funariales; Funariaceae.
UUUAGGGUUUGGUUAGGAUUUGAUUUAGGAUUUGGAUUAGGAUUUGAUUUAAGAUUUGAAUUAGAGUUUGGACUAGGGUUUGAUUAGGGUUUGAUUUAAGGUUUGGUUUAGGGUUUAGGAUUUGGAUUCAAGUUUAGGGUUGGAUUAGGAUUUGGAUUAGGGUUUGGAUUAGGAUUUAGGAUUUUUUUAGAAUUUGAUUUAGGAUUUGGUAUAGAGUUUAGGGUUUAGAAUAGGAUUUAAUUUAAGAUUUGUUUAGGAUUUGACUUAGGAUUUAGGAAUUAUUAGGAUUUAAGAUUUAAUUAGGUUUGGUCUAAAGUUGAGUGAAAUUCAAUAGGAUUUUAACUAGAAUUAAAUAAAGGUUAAAUUGACAUAU